RNAcentral lists this ribosomal RNA (600 nucleotides) under Rhizocarpon geographicum. RNAcentral's name for it is "partial large subunit ribosomal RNA". The stretch from base 1 to 318 matches the Rfam family "Bacterial large subunit ribosomal RNA", at positions 1026 to 1301 of the family's 2925-position model. Lineage: Eukaryota; Fungi; Ascomycota; Lecanoromycetes; Rhizocarpales; Rhizocarpaceae. The record is from RNAcentral.
CGCAGACAGAGUUAUAAGGUUCCAAAAUUAUUGUUAAGUGAAAAUAAGGUAGUGUUUAUCCAAGCCAACCAGGAAAUGGGCUUAGGAGCGGCCAUUUUUUAAAGACCUCGUAACAGAGCACUGGUUUUAUACAUUUUUGUAUGUAUUGUUAGAUGCACCUAAAAUUUAACGGAUCUAAAUAAUAUACCGAGACCUUGUCCAUAAAUAUUUAUAUGUACAAGUUACAUAUAAUAUUUAUGGGGUAGCGGAACAUUGGGCAUAUCUCAGAUUUUUUCUUUUUAAGACUUAAGAUUAGAUGACCCAAGUGAUAAUGCUGACAUGAGUAACGAUAAAGGGUUUAUACCCUCGCCUAAAGCUUAUGGAAUUUACUUAAAGUAACGGCCUCUAAGUUUAAAUUUGCUAUAGUUUAAACAAACAACACUUGAUACCUAACUCUAACAGACGAUACAAGUGCAAAAUAGUAAACACCUAAUGGUAUAAACGAUGAGAAAAAGCUAAGUUUUACAGAUAUAAAUAGCAUGAGUGUUGCAGGUAGGUAUUAUAUAUAUAAUGGAUUUUUUUUUUAUUCUUUUUAUGCGUUAUUAUCCUUUGCACUAUAUG